Long non-coding RNA from Pelodiscus sinensis (Chinese soft-shelled turtle), 3462 nucleotides. RefSeq lists it as uncharacterized. Lineage: Eukaryota; Metazoa; Chordata; Testudines; Trionychidae. The record is from RefSeq and is a predicted model, not a curated record.
UUUAUGCAGUUACACAACUAUUCAAUUACAUGCUAUCUAACAUCCCUACUGCAUAUGGCUUCAUGAGCCAUGGGAGUAAGAGGUGGCUAUCUCCUAGGAUCACUACUGGCAUUUCAAUACCUCCGAUGGUAACUUCUCCAUCUGGUAAGCAAGUCCCAAACUUGCAGCUUUAUAAAGAGACAGAAGUUCCUAAAGUUAUGCAUGUUGCAUCAUGCACCUUUUCCGAAAAUCCUAUAUUGAUGUAGAUGAAAUGGACCUUGUGAUCUACCAGCACCCACGGCACCAUUGAGAAGUAUCCUUUAAGAUUUGUGUAUGCUUUGGCAAGGUGGUCAGGUGCCAAGAUAGGGAUGUGCAUUCUGUCUGCCGCCCCACCACAGUUAGGGAAUCUAAUCACAACAAAGCCCUCCACUAUGUUCUGCAUGUUUCCUGGAGUCAGAACCCUCUGUAGCAGAAGGGUAUUGAUUGACUUGGCUACUUGGAUCACAACAGCCCCCACUGUAGAUUUCACCACUUCAAAUUGAUUCCCAAAUGUCCAGUAGCUGUCUAACAUUGCAGAUUUCCAUAGGGUAAUUGCCACUUGCUUCUCUAAUAUCAGAGUGGGUCUAAUUCUGAUAUUUCUGUGCUUCAGGGUAUGGAAAAACAAUUUGCAAACUUCCAUGAAAGUGGUUUUAUGCAUGUGACAGUUUUGCAGCCACUGCUGAUUGACCCAUUGCUGCAUCACUAUGGGUUUGUGCUUCUUUUAUGGCACCGGAACCAGCAUUCCACUGUGUCCAGAGGAUCAAACACUGGCAGCAUUUGCCGGUUGCUCAAAUGCUUCACAAAAGAGCAUGCUCAUGAUCUCCUGAGAUACUUCCUCAUUCCAGAAGACCCUGGAAAUGCUCUGGAUAUACUCCAUGAUAAGGUGCACCAUGGUUAAUAUGAUUGCCAUAAUACUUUGCUGUUAAACAGGUUCCAGGAAGGGUUGGUUCCAUGCUUAUCCUGCUAUGGCAUCUGCACAGAUAACCAAGAGAAAAAAAGGGUGUUUGCUUUGCUUUCAAAUGGGAGAAGGGUAGAGGGGAAGGAGGAUAUGAGUGUAUUAUGGGAUGCUGAUGGUAUGUACCCAGAACCAACUGCUACACAAUUUUGGUCCCAGCGUGCACUGGAACAUAACUCAGAAUGGUAAGGGACAGCAGGAACUGUGAGAUAGCUACCUACAGUGUAUCACUCUCAAAGUUGCUAGUAGCCAACCUACUAGGGACAUACUACUUCAAACUAUACUGAAUUCUUGCACAUAGUGGGGAUAUGUACCUUCAACUUUACAAAACUUAAAAACUUAUCUCGAAGAAAAGACAAAGUAGUGGAGGGGAAGAACUGUCAAUCAUCUUGAAGACUAGAAAAAACAGAUGAAAGAAGCCAUUGUUUGCCUACCUAUAUGUUAUACUGCUACCACAACUGGCUGCUAUCCAUGCAAUGCUAGCAUGCCUUUCUCCACACACCCCUGCACCUAGGUUCCCUGUAACCUGCACUGCAGCAUAGCUGUUCAAUGAUCCCUGACCAGAGGCUCAGAGCUGCCCCGCUGGCAGGAAGCUUAGCUGAUCAGUUGGGGGAGGGGCCAUCUGGCUCUGGGCACCUUCAAACUGAACUGCCUGCUUGAAACAGAGGAACUUAGAGAUCAGCCAGGGAGGGGAGAUAAGAAGCAGGGAAGAAGGGAAGAAUUGGAGGGAGGAGGGAAGAGUUUUAGGGUAGGGGGAAUUUGGGGAGAUAAGGAGGAAGGAAAUAAUUGGCUGGAGGGAGUGAAAGGAGAAGGGAAUUUGGGGUGUCCUGAGAAAGAGGCAGAAACCCAGCAUUCUCUUCUUCCUCAAGCCUCCUGGGGUGGGAAGAGGGGUGGGGGGGGGGGGAGGGAGAAGGGGAGAGAUGACUGCAUGGGAUAUGUGAGUGAAGCAGGAGGUGGGUGGUGGCACUGAGGUGAGGUGGGGGCAAAGAACUUGUUUGUGCUGGGUGUCCUGUCCUAACUCCCAGCUAGAAUGUUAAUGCUUUCAAGUCUAAGCAGCAGGAUUUUAUCCCAGCCUGCAACUGUGCUGGGUGCCAGGGACCAGAUUGUACAGUGGUAGGUGGGGGGAAUAAGGAGUGGGUAGGUGCUGGCGUACGUGCAGUAAGGUGGAGGCAGGGGGGAGUUUGUUUGGGGUGGCCUGAUUUACUUGCUGCAGUCCAGAUAGCAGUCCUCUCCGGCUGGGUGGAGAGAAGAAGAGGAAUCCAGGCUGCAUGGGAGGUAGGAGGGGGGUGUGCGCCAGGACAUUUGCAUGAUUACAUUUCAAACAAAUUUAACAUAGGAGUUAAUGGCUUAAGUUCAUAAAAUAUGUGAAACUGCGAUGUGCAUGUUUAGCUGUUCUGUCCUCAGAUGUCAUGGUUCUGGACCUGAGGAGUCCCAAGAAAAGUAAGAGAGAUGGUGUGAGAACUGCUAUUAUGCCUUGUUUACAUAUGAGGAACUGAGCCACAGAGAGACUAAGCGACUUGCCCAACAUCACAAAGGACAUCUCUGGAAGAUCAGGGAACUACACCCGAUAAUUCCCAAGUCCCCUUCUGGCCAACGGGCCAUCAUUCCUCUUCUCUUCCUCUUACAAGAGACUCCUCAUGAGGGAUGAAUGAAAAAGGACAGUAAUACUACUGCAUGGGCAGGAAGCUGAGAAGAAACAACAGACACGUACAAAUCUUGUUGUAAUGUCCAAAAUAAAAAUCAGCUAACCAAUGGGAUGUUCAUAAUUUUAAGUACCAAUAAAUCUACUUGUGCCACCAACUGCUAACUCUUCUCUUAUUACUAGACUCUUCCCUCAGACAAGCUCCACAGCACAUAUGACUUAAGACACCCUCAUGUGCAGAUAUAAACCAGCACGGUGCUCCCAGUACCCUCUACCAUCCUCUUGCCGCUCAGAAGCCUUAAUUUGGCCCCCUGGCUACUAAGGUCCUUAAAUAAACUUGGGAUUUUGUGUUUCUCAGUACUAAAUGUCAGCGCUAUGAUUGUAUAAAUUUCCUGUGAAACAGGGGGAGUGCUGACCAGCACCUGCUGACUAAGGGGUUAACUCAGGUACCUAGCAAAGGUGCCAGACAUGGGGCUGGGAGAGCCAACUGAGAUAAAGGCUUGGAAUUUGAAUUGGAUAUAAAUUCGCUGCCUGCUUUCUUUGUGUGGGAGAAGUACACGAGGGAUAGAGAGAGACACAGAAUCAUUUAACCCAGGAAAGACUACCAUGUCCCACCAUGGAAUUCAGGGUAUGGGAGCAGACUGAACCAAGAGAAAAUUAAAAAUGAUUACCAGGGAAAUAUGAGUCCAGUCGCGUUCAGGGUAGUUUUUCUCUAUUUUGUGGUUUGGUUUGAACUGCUGUGUGAUUCUAUGCCUUCCGUCCCCACUUACCAUCUAAACAUUGUGCUGAGACUUUGCUAUCUGGUUUUUAAUUUGUUUUCCUUAGUUGUUCUGUACAUCUAGCAACC